AGAUGACCCUGUUUACGUCUGCUGAGCCAAUUCCAAACAGCAACAGUAGUGAAAACUUCUGUCGGGAGAGACUUCUCAACUACUGGUGUAGAGAGAACAAAUCUUCACUUUGUAUAACGCGAGGACUUUAAGAAGUUUUGGGAAAUGGCUGAGAGGAAAAAAACACAAGGAAGCCAGCAGCCUGCCCAACUUCUCUAUUUUCUAAAGUAUCUCUUACCAGAGACCCCCGGGGGGCUCGGGAUAAAGCUUGCAAGAAACAGAAAAUGCAAGGGCUGGUCGCAUGGUGCCAGACCUACCUCAAGGAGAACUGAGGAAUGUAGUCCCUGUCUGGGCAGCCACUUCCCUGCAUCACCUGUACACUAUGGAAGGAAACCUGAUCAGAGGACUGCUAACCAUCUCUGGAUACAGAGGGUAGCCGGCUCCACGCACUGACCGCAGCUCUGAGGCUGACACUUCCCUGAAGACCCAGAGUGUGGAUCGUCAGUCAGGACUUGCUGCCGCAGCCCUUCUUCAUGAGUGAAGUCAAGUGAGCGUGAGGCCGUUCACCACUCUCCUGGUCUUUUUCAUUUCUCACUUGGUGCUCCCCUCAGUAGCAGCAUAUGUCUCUAAGCCCCUGUGUAUUCAUUCUGCCAAGAAAGUCUCAGUGCUGUAGUGCCACGCGAUUGGCCGAGAUGGCUAAGAUCCCCCAACUCACUCAAUUCCCUCCUUCUCUUAUCACUAGACUGCAGGGGAACCAUUUUCAUUCCAAUGGUGUUAUUUUCCUGCCCCGCGUACCUCUUUCCCCUUCAGCUUUUACCCAGCAUCUUGCCAGUCUUUCUCACUGGAAAUUCCCGUCCUCACUCCCCUCCCCUUUGGGAGGUAGGAAGUCAUUUUUGCUGACUCAUUUGUCCUGUGCCCUUUUGCUGCCCCAAGUUGCUUCCCCCUUUCUCCAGAGCCGCUGGAGUCUUCUCCACAAGGUUUACUCUGCGGCCUUUCUGGAAACCAGCCCCUCUACUCUUCUGGGAUUUGGAGUUUCAGAGCGAGUUCUUGUUGGCUCCGGGCCCACUGUUCACCUGGGCUUCUGGCUUGCUUACGGUCCUACCUAUUUAGACUUAUUUCUCAGGUCUGGGGUGGUGCACGGUUGAUUUCUGGCUGCUUUCAGUGCUGAUCUCGAAAGCGAAGGCUUGAGACCAGGCGUGGUGGCUCACACCUGUAAUCCCAAAACACUGAGAGGCCAAGGUGGGAGGACUGCUUGAAUCCAGGGGCUUGAGAACAGCGUAGGCAACAUAAUGAGACCCCGUGGCUGCAAAAAAAAAAAGGAAGGCUUGGAGCCCUGGGCUUGCCCCUGGGCCUGGCAGGCUCUCCUCUAGUGAGUGGAGACAGCAGGCAAGCCUCCUUUACUCUCAAGUCCUGUAGAUUCCUUUUUCUUUUUCUUUUUUUUUUUUUCCUGAGACGGAGUCUGGCUCUGCUGCCCAGGCUGGAGUGCAGUGGCGCGAUCUCAGCUCACUGCAAGCUCCGCCUCCCGGGUUCAUGCCAUUCCCCUGCCUCAGCCUCCCGUGUAGCUGGGAUUACAGGCACCCGCCACCGCGCCCGGCUAAUUUUUUGUAUUUUUAGUAGAGACGGGGUUUCACCGUGUUAGCCAAGAUGGUCUCGAUCUCCUGACCUCCUGAUCCGCGCGUCUCGGCCCGCCAAAGUACUGGGAUUACAGGCGUGAGCCACCGCGCCCGGCCGAUCCCUUUUAAUAGAGGAGGAAAGAGGGGCGGAGGAGCGGACGGAAGAGUGACGUUAAUGGAGCAUGCGCACUCCCCGAGCACUGCACUAGGGCUUCGGGGUACAGUUGAUGCCUUGGGAGAACUGGAAACACCUGAUUUGGGAGAGUGAUGGCAUUGGCUAGGAGUGACUAUCAUACAUUCUGAACUCUGAUGCCCCUUCCGAGACCCCUGGGAUGCCAGGCUCUUCCCAGGGAGUAGCGUUGACAGCUAAGCUUCUUUAACAGAAAGGCCACAGAGGGGACACAUUCCCGUUUGUCCCCGGCCACUAGAAAGUGUUUCCAGGAGAAGCAGGUUAUGAACAAUCCAUCACCUUCUUUCAGAUGGGGUACCGUGGGAGCCCUAAUGAGAGAUGCUAAUGUUCUUCCAGCCCCAGGAGCUCUCUUUUUCCCUGUCUCCCUCCCGGAUCCUCCGAGCAGUCUGCCUCCACAGGUGGCACUGGCAGGGAGACCCCAAGCCAGGUGGUUGGCCGACUUCCGACUCACCUUGUACCUCAGAUCCCCCACCGCCCCGCUACGGCUUGAUUUCAGGAUAACGCUCAGGAAUGGAUCUUUUGGAUGAGGGGGAGAGGAAAGAGACUGAUUUCCUCGAGAGAGGUGGGGCGGGGGAGCAGCUGAGAGAAAGCUGCGCCGUCUGGAAAGGAAGCCAGAAAGGAAGACAGAGUCUCUUUGAACUUUUCCCACCAAGCUGACAGGAAAAUUGCAAAAACAUCAUUGGACUGGUUCAGGAUGCGAAGGGAGCAGCCAGGAAGGCGCGGCCUCUUUGAAGGCUUCCCGCUCCGCGCGAGGCAUGGCUCCCGGAGGGGUACACCAGCUGGAGUGAGGAACAGGGCUCGACGCCCGCCCGACCGACAGCCACACGGGAACAGGCUGCGUUUUGUUGUGUUCCCAGUGGUCCCCAGGGCCGAAGGGGAAUGUAAGGAGAUGCUGUUGAGCUGGCCAGAGGGGACAGGGGAGGCUCGAAGCGAGGCACGCAGUCAGGCUCUCCUGACGAGAGCAAGCAGGAGUUACGCAAGGGCAAAGGCCUCCUUCUACUGGAGAGAUGACACUAGUGAGGCCUGGGGACAGCUCCGAGGGCUGGGGAAGGUCAGUGUUGGCUUUAGGCAGGAGUAUGACCAAAACUGGCUACUUAUCUUGUGGGGCUCAGUGCAAAGUGAAAAUACGGGCCCCUUAUUUAAAAAUUAUGAAGCGUUUGCUGGGUGUGGUGGCACGUGCCUGUAAUCCCAGCAUUUUGGGAGGCCGAGGUAGGAGGAGCAUUUGAGCCCAGGAGUUCAAGACCAGCCUGGGCAACAUAGUGAGAGCCUGUCUCUACAAAAAAUAAAGAAUUAGGCCAGGCACAGUGGCACGUGCCUGUAGUCCCAGCUACUCAGGAGGCCGAGGUGGGA
Molecule: long non-coding RNA, 3132 nt
Organism: Pongo pygmaeus (Bornean orangutan)
Lineage: Eukaryota; Metazoa; Chordata; Mammalia; Primates; Hominidae
Exons: 3
Source: RefSeq, a predicted model, not a curated record